UCCUACGGGAGGCAGCAGUGGGGAAUAUUGGACAAUGGGCGAAAGCCUGAUCCAGCCAUGCCGCGUGUGUGAAGAAGGCCCUCGGGUUGUAAAGCACUUUCAGCGAGGAAGAACGCCUAGGGGUUAAUACCCCCUAGGAAAGACAUCACUCGCAGAAGAAGCACCGGCUAACUCCGUGCCAGCAGCCGCGGUAAUACGGAGGGUGCAAGCGUUAAUCGGAAUUACUGGGCGUAAAGCGCGCGUAGGUGGCUUGAUAAGCCGGUUGUGAAAGCCCCGGGCUCAACCUGGGAACGGCAUCCGGAACUGUCAAGCUAGAGUGCAGGAGAGGAAGGUAGAAUUCCCGGUGUAGCGGUGAAAUGCGUAGAGAUCGGGAGGAAUACCAGUGGCGAAGGCGGCCUUCUGGACUGACACUGACACUGAGGUGCGAAAGCGUGGGUAGCAAACAGGAUUAGAUACCCUGGUAGUCCACGCCGUAAACGAUGUCGACCAGCCGUUGGGUGCCUAGCGCACUUUGUGGCGAAGUUAACGCGAUAAGUCGACCGCCUGGGGAGUACGGCCGCAAGGUUAAAACUCAAAGGAAUUGACGGA
Molecule: ribosomal RNA, 588 nt
Filed under: uncultured Gammaproteobacteria bacterium
Lineage: Bacteria; Pseudomonadati; Pseudomonadota; Gammaproteobacteria
Description: bacterial SSU rRNA
Rfam family: Bacterial small subunit ribosomal RNA
Source: RNAcentral